UACGUAGGGUGCGAGCGUUAUUCGGAAUUACUGGGCGUAAAGCGUGCGCAGGCGGUUCGUUGUGUCGGUGGUGAAAUCCCCGGGCUUAACCUGGGAAUGGCCAUGGAAACUGGCGAACUGGAGUGUGGCAGAGGGGGGUGGAAUUCCGCGUGUAGCAGUGAAAUGCGUAGAGAUGCGGAGGAACACCGAUGGCGAAGGCAGCCCCCUGGGCUAGCACUGACGCUCAGGCACGAAAGCGUGGGGAGCAAACAGG
This 253-nucleotide ribosomal RNA is filed under the name uncultured bacterium. Its description in RNAcentral is "partial 16S ribosomal RNA". It matches the Rfam family "Bacterial small subunit ribosomal RNA", at positions 524 to 776 of the family's 1533-position model. The record is from RNAcentral.